GUUGUUCCCACUUUCUAAGCGCUGGUUUUAAUUUUUGAAGUCCGCUCAAAUUUCAUUUAUUUCUUCUCUCACUAAAAUCAGAUUCAAAGACUCGGUUGCGGCUAACUAGGUUACCACAAUUCUCAAUUUUCCCCAAAACUUCAUCACAUAUGGAUUCGAGUAUGAGAGUAUCUCCAUCUUUCUCCGCUUCUUCGUCAGUUUUUGCAAGCACAUGAAGCCUUGAUUUCUCAUAUUUGCUUCUAAGACUCAAACAGCAUUCAGGAGGCAACGUUCCAUUGAUGAAUCGAGUAAUGUCAUUUGCUGGUUUUGAUCACCAGGGUUCUUCUAGAAGAUUAGUUUGCAGACUUUUGUAGGUUGAUGAAGACGUGAAGUAGCAUCAGCUAGGCUUUAAUGCUUUGUUACUAUUUUGUGCUCAGUAAAGUAGUAACAUCACACCCUAAGAAGCAUCAGACUGGAAUUGACACUAAAUUUAUGGAAGUGCUGACAUUCAGAGAACACCACAUGACAUUUUUUCAGAAGUCAGAUCUGUUUUUCAUCUGUCUGCAACAACCUCUGUCCUUUAACAUCCAAGUUCAAGAAACAGAACUGGAAGCAGCUUAGGUAAUUUCAUUAACAUUCAAUUCACUAUUAGAUUAUGGGUAUUUAACGACAAUAUAUUAACGACAAACUUUCUCUCUUCGGUUAUAUCUUAGUUCUGAUAAAGAGCACAAGAACAUUGCAAGCAAAGACAACAUGUUAAUGGUCACUUUUGUUUUUCUGGUUUUAGAUGAUAUGGCUGCUUAUUCCUCAUCAUACUAAUAUUGAACCUUGUUUGUUGGUGCGAAAUGUAAGUGGUUGCGGUGCUGAAAGAUUGUGAGGGGGCUGGGGUACUAGAGCCUCGCAUAUAUAUGUUUGUGCAUGCAAGUAUGUUAUCUGGCACCGUUUUAUACUGUUGAACAUUUUCAAGGUUUUGUAGCUAUAGCUGAGCUGCUUAGUUAUCAUGUGAAUCUGGCUAAUUGAGAUUGUUUUUCAUUGUGAAACUUGUGUUUUCUAAAGUUUGUAGAGGAUUUUCUUACUCUUUUAUAAGAGACUGUUCAAAAGAUAUUCUUAUUCAAUUAUGAUAUUUAAUUAUGUAUUAUGUUUCUCGACUGUAGUCCAAUGUUGUAUGGUUUAUAUUUUCAUUUCACUUAAACUUAUUCUACUUGUUGGACACUGUAGGUAUUCUAGGUCUCCAUCACCUAUGAAAAAAAGAUCUACGUCUCACUCUAGGUCCAUAUCUAUGUCUCCUCCUAGAUACCGGUCCCAUUCUCGUCCCAGGUCAAGGUUUGCGAGCCGUGGAAGGUUGGCUUGAAGCUUAAAAGGCACAUUUGUUGUUCGCUUUCUGCUUGACUGCUAACUCUUUAUUCUAUAGCAGGAUUGAGAUCCUCUAGAGUCACUCAUAGAGAACUUGAGGAUUUCUUUUCCAAGUAGGGAAAGGUGAGUACUGGAUGUAUCCUGAUCAAAUAUGUUGUUGUCAAGACAUGAAUGGACUUAAUGUUACUAUUCCAACUUCACAAGCUGGAUCAGAAAUGCAAAAAUAGGUCGAAGCUGCUACACAUCAAUUCUAGAUAUUUGGUGCAAAUUUUCUUAAUUUUUUUUAAGAACAAGGAAUCAUUGAGAUUUAAUUCUUAGUAUGGACCAAGUUAUAUAUUUGACCUUAUUAGUUUGGUUG
Molecule: long non-coding RNA, 1690 nt
Organism: Spinacia oleracea (spinach)
Lineage: Eukaryota; Viridiplantae; Streptophyta; Magnoliopsida; Caryophyllales; Amaranthaceae
Exons: 5
Source: RefSeq, a predicted model, not a curated record